UACGAAGGGGGCUAGCGUUGCUCGGAAUCACUGGGCGUAAAGCGCACGUAGGCGGAUUGCUAAGUCAGGGGUGAAAUCCUGGAGCUCAACUCCAGAACUGCCUUUGAUACUGGCGAUCUCGAGUCCGGGAGAGGUGAGUGGAACUGCGAGUGUAGAGGUGAAAUUCGUAGAUAUUCGCAAGAACACCAGUGGCGAAGGCGGCUCACUGGCCCGGUACUGACGCUGAGACGCGAAAGCGUGGGGAGCGAACAGG
This 253-nucleotide ribosomal RNA is filed under the name uncultured bacterium. RNAcentral's name for it is "partial 16S ribosomal RNA". It matches the Rfam family "Bacterial small subunit ribosomal RNA", at positions 524 to 776 of the family's 1533-position model. The record is from RNAcentral.